AGCAGCCGCGGUAAUUCCAGCUCCAAUAGCGUAUAUUAAAGUUGUUGCAGUUAAAAAGCUCGUAGUUGAACUUCAGGAUCAAGGAAUCGGUCAUGCCUUGGUAUGUACUGGUUUUAUUGGUUCUCACCUUCUAAAGAACCAUAAUGUCAUUCAUUUGAUGUUAUGGGGAAUUAGGACUAUUACCUUGAAAAAAUUAGAGUGUUUAAAGCAGGCAUGCGCUUGAAUACAUUAGCAUGGAAUAAUGAAAUAGGACGUUCGAUUCUAUUUUGUUGGUUUCUAGGAUCGACGUAAUGAUUAAUAGGGAUAGUUGGGGGCAUUAGUAUUCAAUUGUCAGAGGUGAAAUUCUUGGAUUUAUUGAAGACUAACUACUGCGAAAGCAUUUGCCAAGGAUGUUUUCAUUAAUCAAGAACGAAAGUUAGGGGAUCGAAGACGAUCAGAUACCGUCGUAGU
This 450-nucleotide ribosomal RNA is filed under the name uncultured Glomeromycotina. RNAcentral's name for it is "SSU rRNA". It matches the Rfam family "Eukaryotic small subunit ribosomal RNA", at positions 569 to 1024 of the family's 1831-position model. Lineage: Eukaryota; Fungi; Glomeromycota. The record is from RNAcentral.